Molecule: non-coding RNA, 285 nt
Organism: Vicia faba (fava bean)
Lineage: Eukaryota; Viridiplantae; Streptophyta; Magnoliopsida; Fabales; Fabaceae
Source: the annotation of a GenBank genome assembly
AUGGUUCACAACCAAUUUAUUAAGUUUGAAGGAUGCUACAACAGGCUUGUAGCAGAUGAAGGUGCAAGUCCUUUAAAGGAAUGGGUUUCACUUGAACAUUUGGGAGAUAAACCAUCUAGAAUACGAGCUGCUCAUACUCUUAUCAGUUUACAUAAUGAAGGGACAGGGAAGAGACAAAGAGAAGCUAUGGUAGACUAUUGGUUCAUUGGGGAUAAAUUUGAUGCUUGGAUACAAGAAAGGUUAUGGCCUCCACUCGCAGAAACACCAUCCGGAUCAGUUUUGUGA